GGUUUCUUCUCGCCGAUAAGGGAGCGAGGGACGGUUUCGAGGCGCAGGACCUUUAUUUUUAUUUUUCCAAGAUGUGUGGCGGAUUCACGUGCUCGAAAAACUCACUGUUGGCCCUUAACAUCUUGUAUGUUAUUGUGGCGUUCAUCCUAUUUGGGGUCGCGGCUGCUGCCAAUGCGGCCUCCAUUGUCACAUCACUGUCACUGGUUACUGGAAUUAUUGUCUGUGGUGUUUGCCUAUUAAUCAUAUCCAUAGUGGGUCUCAUUGGAGCAAGUAAACAUCAUCAGGUGUUGCUGUUCUUCUACAUGAUUGUUUUGUUCAUCAUCUUCAUCAUCCAGUUCUCUGUGGCCUGUGCAUCCCUUGCCAUUAACGAACAGCAGCAGCAGGCUUUCGCUAAGAAGGGUUGGGAAUACUCCAACAACAGCACUAAACACGAUGCACAGCAGUUCUUUGGCUGCUGCGGCUUCGAGAAAUACAGCAAAAACAUAACUACCGAGAUGGAUCACCCAACCUGCACCGAUAUUAAAAACAAAGAUGGCAAGUACUGCUGUGGAGACCCAGCUUCAGCUGACGAUGCAACGUGUUGCCGCAGCGAGAACAGCACAAGCUGUAUGUGUGACCCCUGCAUGGAGCCAAUCCAGGAGUCGAUGGUUAAGGGCCAGAACCUGGUUGGUGGCAUCGGACUCUUCUUCUCAUUUACAGAGUUUCUUGGUGUGUGGCUCACGGUGCGAUACAGGAACCAGCGGGACCCUCGAGCUAACCCUUCGGCCUUCCUGUAGAGCGAUGGGGUCUGUUUUAGCCCCCACUCUCAUUCUCACUAACAUAUCAGAUCAUUGGCUUCCUCAUCGCCAAGCAGUAUCGGCACCAAGUGGACCCCAGAGCCAACAUCCAGUCUCUUCUGCGAUAAUUUUGUUAAAGUGUCUUGGAUAGUUUGGUUCUGGUAUUGAAAAAUGUGCGCAUAUAUGAAUAUAUAUAUACAUUUAUAUAUAUCAUUAUGGUACAUUUCUUGGCACCCAUCCCCCGUCCCCCUAUUUUCCUCCAGUCAUACUCUCACCAUAAUUAUCACUCAAUUGACAUGGUUUUCAUUAUGUGACAUGUGGAAUUCUGUAGCUCUCUGGAAUCCGGGAAGAGCAAUACUCGCAUCCCUUUUGUGCCCUCCCUCCCCUCCCCACUUCCCAUGACCACCCUCCUCCCAAAACACUGUUUGAAAAGAGGGAAGUCUCGCUUGAAGCAUUUUAAUUUUUAUAUUUGUUCUUUUAUUUGAUUGUGGUACGACACUUUUUGUCAGUUUUAUUUUAUCAUUUUUUUCUUUUGUCUUUUCUAUGCACACCAUGACAUCUAGUCCCUCAUGUAUAGAGCCCUCCAUGCAAGUUUGGGUGUGAUGCAGUCAAACUUGUUCUUUAAUGUGUCAAUAAUUUAUAGGGGCAACUGCUAAAUUGGUAACAGUUGUUGAUUUUUGUUAUUUUUUGUUUGCAUGUGGAAUGAUAGUGCUGUUGUUUUUUUCUUUUCUUUUUUUUUUCUUGUUUUUUUUUCCUGUUUUUUUGUUCUGGAUACAUUAUUUAAGAAUUUGUAUGUGGGUGAUGGUGUAUUAAUGUUAUUGAAUAUUUAGUAUAUUAUGGAAGACCUUCUUUAUUUUGUAUUCUCUUUUCAUUAUAUAUGGAAUCUUAAAUUUCCAUUUGCCAUAUCUUUAAUGUUCUUUAUUUGUGCAAUACUUUUAAAGAAACUGCAAUAUUAAUGUCUUUCCUUCAUUUGUUUUUAUUGCUGUUUCAAAAUUAAUUUCUUCUCUCCGUCUUCCUUGUUUACUUGGUGAAAACUUGAAUGCUUAUAUUUUCAUGAUUUGUAAUUAGCUAUCAUUGGCAUAUAAAUUAUUUAGACUGUACUUAACUUUCCAUUAAGUGCAAGUUCUUCCGUCAUGCUUUUUUUGAGGCCAAAAGCAUAGUAGUCUUGCUGAGUGAAGCUGCCAGAUUAUUACUGCGUUCAGACGUGGGACUUUUUCAAAUCUCACGACAUAAUGCUAUUUGGAAUAAUCUUAGCCUGAGUAUUGAGAAUAGAACAGAGAAAUUGUUUUGUAUAAAACAGUUCAAAUAAUUGUGUUCAAGCUAAAGCAAAAGAAAAGAAAGUCUAUUUUUUCUGUGAGAAUAUUAAUUCAUAAAAAAUAAGGUUGAAUAACAAUGAAUGGAUCAAAUGUAUGUGCCUGACUUGUAAAGAAAUUCUAUAAUGUGGUGAACAAUCCAAUAGAUAAUGUUACAUAUUAUGUAUAUUGAAUAGAUGUGACAUUGGUGUCUUCUUGGAUUCUGAAAGUAAGCCAUAGAAAUUAAAAAAUAUUAUGGAAAUUUAAAUCUAUUCACUCUGCAUUUUAUGAACAGAACCAUUUUUUUCCCCCUUUAAGCAGAAUUUGUGUUAGAUGACUGUGUUUAGAAUGUAAUAAUUGUACAUCCCCUUAUAGCCAUUAAGAAUAUUUCCCCAGGUCCUUGGGUAGUGUUCUUGAAGCACUGGUUCAACCUUGCCAGGAUGUGUCACUAGUGGCCAUACUUUUACAGCAGUACCGUAUAUUGUAAUCCAGUUACAGUGUUUCAGUAUAACACAUGAGCUUGUGGUUAGUUAGCAUGGCUCACUAUGUGUGAUGGAUCAUUAUUGUUGUUGUUAUGUAGUCCUUUCCUGUAUUCAGCCAAUAGACCACUUUUACAAGGCUAAACACAAAAAGAAAAGAGAAAGGAGACCUAAGACAUUCACAUUUUCAAAUGAAUUGAAAGUUUCUGAAAAGAAUUUAAUUCUUUGCAAUUUACAUGUGAUCAUAUUUGAUUGUUGGAACAUGACAAACAUUCCAUACUUUGGGUACUGUGUGUAUGAUAAAUUUAUUAUAACUGACAAUCAGCAGGUAAUAACAUCUCAAAUUACACUAAUGUCCUUUGAGGUGAUCUGUUGGUGUUCAAGAUAAUCAGUUGUAUCAUGUAGUGUAUAUUUGAAAUAUGUAUAUGAGGCUUCCCGAUGUAGUUAAGUGGAUUUACAGUUAUGACAUUAAUUGUUAAAUGUUUAUUAGCUUUUCCGUUCAUGGUGCUUCUCUUUCCGAAAUUUCGUUGUAAGGGUCUGUUGGGCUGUCAUCGAAACUCAUUGUCAAGGUCUCAUAUUAGUCUGCAAUGUCCAUUACUGAAUCUUUUGGGCAGAUCAUUCUGGUUGUCAUUUCUCGUAACGAAUCGUGCCCAUACAGAACAGUAUUAUACCAACUGAUAUCACAUCCAAGAGAAUGUUAGUGUUCAAAGAAAGACUUUUGAAAGACUUUGAAUUAAUUUUUUUGAUGUCCUUGAUUAAUGGGAUAUUUGUGUAUAUGCCUCUAGUCAUUAUUCUUCACUUGUUUGGAGCCACAUGAACAAUUUAAUAAAGCCCAUAUUUGACCA
Molecule: RNA transcript, 3392 nt
Organism: Penaeus chinensis
Lineage: Eukaryota; Metazoa; Arthropoda; Malacostraca; Decapoda; Penaeidae
Gene: Tsp97E
Gene name: tetraspanin-13-like
Exons: 7
Source: RefSeq, a predicted model, not a curated record